Molecule: long non-coding RNA, 3590 nt
Organism: Chinchilla lanigera (long-tailed chinchilla)
Lineage: Eukaryota; Metazoa; Chordata; Mammalia; Rodentia; Chinchillidae
Source: Ensembl
AUCUGAUUUCUUUUAUAGCCUGAUGGAGUUGUUUCUUUACUUCAUUUGCUAUAAUUUGAGAAAUUUCAAGUGUGUGACUUCCAAGUUCUAUAUCAGUGUCUCCUGGAGUUGUUCUGAGGGAGCUGAAGGUCUGAGACUGCAUUUUGCAUUUCGUUUUGACAUUUCUAUUGGGUUAAUAAUAUCCCUUUGUUAUUGCAGGCUGAUCAGGUCUGAAAUCUCCCAAACAAGUAUACAGUGAAGGCUAAAUAAAAAGAGGCAAAUGGAAUGAUUUCAGGGCUCUUGGAGAAUCAAGGCCCUCACAGAAUUGAAGAUUCUCUCAGGGCUAAGACCAAGACCAUCUCUGGAUGGCUGAUAUUUAUUUGGUUAUCAGAAGAAGGGAGGAAGUACUCAAGCAGGGCAGGAUCACUCAAGGACUUCUCCAAAUAAGGGCCUGCCACAGGACAGAAGAGCCACGUCCUGGCUGGUACUUGGGCGGCAUUUCCAGGGCUGAGUGCAGGGACACAGAGGGAGCUGCAGACUUGAGGAGGAAGGUCUUUUCUGUCCACCUGCCCCACCAACAUGGAGGCCGGUGGGUAACCAGCAUGGCCCUCAGCUUCUUGACUCACAGUGUUCUCUCUCACACAUCUGUGUUAGUAUCAGUUGCUACAUUACACUCUGCUCUAAAUCCUGACAGCUUGGAAGAGCAGACAUUUGUUACCCCAGUCUGUGCGACCGAGGCAUUCCAGCUUUAACUUCACUGGGUAUCUCCGUCUGAAGGUCUCCUACAAACUGGCGUCAGGGUGUGAGCAGGGCUGUGGUCCCACCCCGAGGUUACUCACUUGGCUGUCGGCAGGACUCCGUUUCUCAAGUGCUACUGGACCGAGGGCCUCCGUCUCCUGCUGGUCUUUGGCUGGAGCGGUCCCUCGGCUCCUUGCCUUGUUGGAGCACCUCACAAAAUGACAGCUGGCUUCUAUCGGAGCAACAAGAUGAGUGGGAUAGAGAAAGAAAGAAAGAAAGGAAGGAAGGAAGGAAGGAAGGAAGGAAGGAAGGAAGGAAGGAAGAAAGAAAGAAAGAAAGAAAGAAAGAAAGAAAGAAAGAGAAAGAAAGAAAGAAAGAAAGAAAGAAAGAAAGAGAAAGAAAGAAAAAGAAAAGAGAGCAAGGAAGGAAGGAAGGAAGGAAGGAAGGAAGGAAGGAAGAAAGAAAGAAAGAAAGAAAGAAAGAAAGAAAGAAAGAAAGAAAGAAAGAAAAAGAAAAAGAGAGCAAUGGAUGCACCCCAAAGUGUCUUUGCAACCUGAGCUCAGCUGUGGCGUCACAUCACUUUUGCUGUAAUCUGUUAUUAGAAUGGAAUGAGGUUCCGUGCACACCCCAGGCAAGGGGAUCACACGAGGCUGUGAAGCCAGGAGCCAACCAGCGCCCCCAGCCCACCCAGCGUGCAGUUCACAUCCCAAGCUAAUGUCGGAGGAUGCAACCUGCUGCCUCGCGGCUCUCUCUCCCCCUGUGUGAACUGGAACACUUGAAUCCAGGCAUCAGGUUAGAUGCUUUGUAGAAAAGCACUGUACCUCCCAAGACUGAGUUAAGUAGCUUCUCUGAGACCCUCGACUUCUCUGCCGGACCCCCUCCCAUUACAUAAAUGCUUGGCCACUGUCUGCCAUCCACACCUCUGUCACCUCAGGGAAGGCGGCGGCUUGUGCUGUGGACCCGUGUCUGAGCAGAGGACCAAAACGUCCUAGGCCCUCGGUACAUGCUUAGUAAAUGUUUUAAACAAGUGUUCUUGAUGGACAGGUGUGGCUUUCAUGUCUUUCUUCUUAUGAAAACCCAGCAGUAGCUUCUGCUACCAGAAGCCCAGACUCUCCUUGGAAUGGCAUGCAAGGCCUUGCUCCACUGGGCCCCAACCUUGGGGACCAUCACCAGUGACACCGGCUCCACCCCAACUCACCCUUCCUGAUGUCCACCCCCCUCCACCUGCUGCGUCCUUCUUCCACGUCACACCUGGAAUUCCUCCUCCUCCUUCAGGACAGACCCUCCUGCCGCUCACCCCCGUGGUCCCCGCCUUGGGCUCUCUCUCUGCACCACCCCACCACUGCUCAGGACCCUUCCCAGCACCCUGAGCGUGUCUUCCACCUAGCCGCUUACACAACUACCCAUCAACUGCUCGAGAGUAACAAACAGAUGUUAUUUAUCCUCCAAGGCUACCGAGAAGUAGGUCUGCUGCAAAUAUUUAGAGAAUAAAUCAAAGAAUAGUUGGCUACACUCUCUCUCUCUCUCUCUCUCUCUCUCUCUCUCACACACACACACACACACACACACACACACACACACACACUCAUUCCUCUGUACCUGAAGAAAGAAGAUCCUUCCUGGAUCCUCGCUCUUAAAACUCAAUGCAGCUGCAACUCCACACAACUUGAGGGAUGAACUAUGUCGCUGGACUGAGCACUGUAUUUAAAAUACCGUGCUUUCUUACAGCAUGUGUGGAUGUUUUCCUUACAGUAGUCUUCAAAUAUCAUACAUCUGUGCCUGUGCUUUUCAAGGCCAGUUAUUCAUACUGAUAUUUGUUUUAGUUUUAGACAAACCCCUCCAACCCUGGAGCUCUAAUGCAUAAGGAGCCGGGAAGGAAAUACAGACUCCAAGAGGAAGGCCCACAGCACGAAGCUGCUUGUUGCUGACCGGCGGGGCACAAGCUUGUGUACCCUCCUUUGCGUCCGUGUCAAGAGCACCAGGGUGAUCCAGGAAGCACAGGCGAAGGGCGCUGGGGUAAGGAUGACUUUGAACACCCAGUAAUUAGAAGCGAAGCCGUCUGGGUUCCUGCACUGGAGGUGUGAAUGACCAUGCUGAACGCUGUACUGCACACUUACAGUUUUCUUUCUUCUUUAACUUGGGGAGGACGUUAGAGUAGAUACUGCCCCCCACUCUAUUAUGAACUAAAUUAAGUACAGAGAAGUAAGGUGGUUUUUCCCAGUUAUCUACGGUGCUGAUAACGUCUGCUGGAGCAGCGGAACCGACAGCACUGGUCGAAUCCCAUUUCUACCAUUGCUCAUCCUGUGACUCAGAGUCUUUUCACCGCCCAGGGCCUCCGUUUCCUUAUCUGCAAAGUGGGUUUUGUGACAUGCAUGUUACCACGUGAGAACCGCUCAUCUCCCUGUUGUCAGCGCUCCUUCAGAAGACGCCAACUCGACCGAAUCACCGGGCAGCGGCCACCGCGGGGUUGCUUCGGGCCCUGAGACAGCACCUUCUCAGGCGGCGCCGGCGCGGACGCACGCGCCUUUCACAAGGGGCUCCGGGGGCGGGGAUUUAGCUCAGCGGCGCAGCGCCUGCCUGGCAAGGUCGUCAGUUCGAGUCCCAGUACCGGAAGGAAAAAAAAACAAGCAAACAAUCAGAAGGGGCUCCACAGAAGCAACAGUUCAAAGGGAGAAAAGCAGCGGGCACGCAGCGAGGCGCGGUCACCCCCACGCCGCAGGGGCGCACGGCGCGGGGCGGGCACACGGGCACGCUCUGAGUCCGACUCUCGGAGAGACGGCGACGUUGUAGCUCCACGGGAAGCGAAUUCCAGCCGUGGUUUUGCCUUUCCGGCCUGCGAAAGUGUUUCCAAACGUUUUUCUUUUUUUUUUUUU